AUGCUUGUUCCCGUGCAGCCAAGAUGGAUCCCUUCUCCUAAAGGAACUGCAAAAAUCCGAGUCGAUGGGGCCGUCUCCAGAGAUGGAAACGUUGGUUCGUUUAGUGCCGUUUGCAGAAAUUCAUCAGGAACUUUUUUGGGUGAUUCGGUUAUCAAGAUCCAUGGAGUCACGAAUCCGGCAACGCUUGAAGCGCUAGCGUGUCGCGAGGCGCUUGCGCUCGUGGCAGACAUGGACCUUGCUCGAAUCCUCAUCGCGAGCGACAACCAAGGGGUAGUGAAAGACAUCAAGAACUACACCGGGGGAGCCUACGCCAGCACCACCAGGGAGAUUGUGGAGACAUCAACUAGUUUUGAUAGUUGCACCUCAUCUUUGAAGGUAGGGCCACUAAUGUUGAGGCACAUAGCCUCGCUAAGCAUGCUUUUGGUUUGGAUUAUGGGCGCCAUGUGUGGCUGUUAA
This 456-nucleotide ribosomal RNA is filed under the name Triticum aestivum (bread wheat). RNAcentral describes it as "partial small subunit ribosomal RNA". The record is from RNAcentral. Lineage: Eukaryota; Viridiplantae; Streptophyta; Magnoliopsida; Poales; Poaceae.